UAGGGAAUCUUCGGCAAUGGACGAAAGUCUGACCGAGCAACGCCGCGUGAGUGAAGAAGGUUUUCGGAUCGUAAAACUCUGUUGUUAGAGAAGAACAAGGACGUUAGUAACUGAACGUCCCCUGACGGUAUCUAACCAGAAAGCCACGGCUAACUACGUGCCAGCAGCCGCGGUAAUACGUAGGUGGCAAGCGUUGUCCGGAUUUAUUGGGCGUAAAGCGAGCGCAGGCGGUUUCUUAAGUCUGAUGUGAAAGCCCCCGGCUCAACCGGGGAGGGUCAUUGGAAACUGGGAGACGUGAGUGCAGAAGGUGGGAGUGGAAUUCCAUGUGUAGCGGUGAAAUGCGUAGAUAUAUGGAGGAACACCAGUGGCGAAGGCGGCGCUCUGGUCUGUAACUGACGCUGAGGCUCGAAAGCGUGGGGAGCAAACAGG
Molecule: ribosomal RNA, 429 nt
Filed under: Gemmatimonadota bacterium
Lineage: Bacteria; Pseudomonadati; Gemmatimonadota
Description: Gemmatimonadetes bacterium partial 16S ribosomal RNA
Rfam family: Bacterial small subunit ribosomal RNA
Source: RNAcentral